RNAcentral lists this long non-coding RNA (1679 nucleotides) under Homo sapiens (human). RNAcentral's name for it is "long independently transcribed non-coding RNA 3108 (LINC03108)". Lineage: Eukaryota; Metazoa; Chordata; Mammalia; Primates; Hominidae. The record is from RNAcentral.
UGCCAGGGGGCACAGUGUGGCUUUAGCUAGAUUCUUUGAACUUGGAGUCAAACCUGAGGCUCUGACCCCUUGUAGCCGCUGGCCCUCCCUUGACCCCUUUGGAUGAGUGAGGGGGCUCAGCUGGACCCUAUGACCUUGCUUCACAUUGGAGCAUGGAGUUUUCCAAGGAUCUGUCACUAGUGUGCCGUCUGAACAGACAUCGCUGCUGACACCUAAAACCUCUUCUAAGAAACACUCCAAUUAUUCAGAUAAUUGCUUGUGCCUAAGACUGUAUAACCUAAGAGUCGGGUGCAGGCUUGAUAAAGAAUUGGAAGCCCUCUGCAAAACUGCUACAGGUGUUCUGUGUUCCGACGCCCUCCAUCACCUUGGACAGGGGUUCUUCUUCCGGCCCAGUCUCUCCCAUUUCCUCUUUUCUCCCUCCAUCUCCUCCCAUUUGCUUGGCCAGAGCAGAGGCUCGGCUGGUCUAGUUCAGGUAGGAUGGCCAGCAUCCAGUCACUGCCAUAUUCAACAAGGACUUGAGAGCUUCUAGAGAGAGAAAUGCAAGUCAAACCAGCCUGGGCUUUUAAAAGGGGGCUUUGUGUGACCCUGGACACCUGCAACUGGGAGCCAACACUGCCACGUGCUCUCUCUUUUCUCACGCCUCAACUUCCUCUGAAUACUGAUCUAAAUCUCUUUGCUAAGCUUCCUCUCUAUGGCAGGUAAUGUGCACGAUGGCAGCUUUUGCUUAUUGUACCUCAUGACUUCACUGCCAGAAAGGGACAGAGAGGGGCCUUCACGGCCUUCACUGGGGCCAGGUGACCAUCAUUGGCUCAAACACUGCGGCUUGGGAAGAGCUGAACUGAUGCCUGCUCACAUCUGGACUCUGAUUUGUGCUAGGGAGGGGGUACUUUCCAGAAGAAGGGGCCCCUGUCCUGGAAGACAUACAAUGGAGCCCACCACCGUGGUGCUGAGAGCUAUUCCCAAGUCCUAGGGCGCAGUGGGCCCUCCUCCUUCGCCUCUGCUUCCCCUGCCUGGCAGUGAGGGGCAUGGCCUGGGGGAGGGGUGACAUCUGUCCACAGAGCCCAUUGUUUUUUGGCUUGAAAAUCCAUAGGAAAAUGGGGGUUUUUCUCAGCUCCCUUUUUUUGGAGUGGGGGCAGCAGCCGUGUGAUUUUCUGAGUGGAAUGCCUUGGAGGAUCUAAGCGGUGAGUGAAGGAAGAACAAAAGAACCAUUCUCAGAAGCAUGGCAAAAAUGAAACCAAAUAAAAACCCCAUAAAAAUCCCUACCGGGGCAGAGGAAAUACCAAGCCAGUGCUUUUGGAGUGCAGAUUCUGUAAUAAAGGAAAGAUUCAUGGAUACGCUGUGCAACUUGCUUAUGUUUGGACUGGAGGGAGAAUGUGCAGGAACAUGAUAUAAAAGAGUCAUCCAAGAAAGGGAGGCAUCGCUGUGUGCAUUUGUGUUGUGUGUUGUUGCAAUUCAGGAGUGGACUAAGGACUGGGGUUCAUGGGGAGCCUGAAAGAGACACUGGACUGGUUCAAAGUUUGUGCACAGCUGCGGAGAUCAGAUGACUGUCAGCUGGGCCUGCCCCCUGCUGCCUCUGCUUGAUUGCAGGAGGAACUCUGACCUUGAUUUAGUCACCAAAACACCCAUCUGGAAAGCUCUUUGAAGAUUGAUUAAGUAAACACUCACAGCACAGACAAUCA